Molecule: ribosomal RNA, 2808 nt
Filed under: Triticum aestivum (bread wheat)
Lineage: Eukaryota; Viridiplantae; Streptophyta; Magnoliopsida; Poales; Poaceae
Description: partial small subunit ribosomal RNA
Source: RNAcentral
AUGGCGCCUGUGGUGAGCGCUGCGCACGGUGCGUUGGGUCCCCUGUUGCUGAAGCUCACCGCCUUGCUCGCCGGCGAGUUUGGCCGCCUCAAAGGCGUCCUUCGCGAGAUCUGCUCCCUCAGAUCUGAGCUGACUAGCAUGCAUGCUGCGGUCCACAAGUACAUGAUGCUAGAAGAUCCUGAUGUUCAAGUGAAGGCAUGGAUUUCGCUGGUGAGAGAGCUGGCCUACGACAUCGAGGAUUGCAUCGACAAGUUCAUUCACCAGCUUGGCAGCGGCAGGCGCCAAGGGGGCUUCAAGGGCUUCUUUUGUGAGACUGCUCGCUGCCUAAGGACGCUUGGGUCACGGCGUGGAAUCGCCAGCCAAAUUGAUGAUAUGAAGGCUCGUGUCAACCAAGUGAAAGAGCUCAAGAAUAGUUACAAACUUGAUGAUAUUGCUUGUAGCUCCUCCGGCCAUGGUGCCUUGGAUCCUCGGCUGUCUACUCUUUUUGCUGAGGAGGCAAACCUUGUGGGCGUUGAUGGUCCAAGAGAUGAUCUAGCCAAUUGGGUGAUGGAAGAAGAUGGAUCGACAACUCCUCAUCUCAAGGUUUUGUCUAUUGUUGGGUUCGGAGGAUCGGGCAAAACAACACUAGCACAUGAAAUAUGUCGCAAGAUUCAAGGGCAUUACCAUUGUCAAGCUUUCAUAUCAGUCUCGCAGAAGCCGGAUAUUAAGAAAAUCAUCAAGGAUGUGGUGUCCAAAGUGCCUUGCCCAGAUGGAUUCAUCAAGGACAUCGACAUUUGGGACGAAGUUUCAUCUAUGGUAAAGAUGAGAGAGCUGCUACAAGACAACAGGUAUCUCGUCAUUGUUGAUGAUAUAUGGUCAACAUCAGCAUGGAACACUAUCAAGUGUGUUUUUCCAGAGAAUAAUUGUUCUUGCAGAAUUAUCACUACUACACACAUUUCUGAUGUAGCCAGGUCAUGUUGUUCAGGUGGUGAUGAUCGCGUCUAUAACAUGGAGCCUCUAAGUCACAUGCACUCUAGAAGGUUAUUUCUCAAAAGAAUUUUCGGCACCACAGAUUACUGCCCUGAUAUGUUAAAAGAAGUGUCAGAUGAAAUCCUGAAAAAGUGUGGAGGCCUUCCGUUGGCAAUUAUUAGUAUAUCUGGUUUAUUAGGGAACAAACCAGUUGACAAACAAGAGUGGGAGAAGGUGAAAAGAUCAAUCGGUUCUGGCCUAGGUCGAAACCAAUGUUUAGAGGGAAUGAACAACAUACUAUCCCUAAGCUACAAUGCUCUUCCAUAUAAUCUCAAGACUUGCCUGCUGUAUUUAAGUGUUUUUCCUGAGGAUUGUGUGAUUGAGAGAGGAAGACUAGUAAGGCGAUGGGUAGCAGAAGGAUUUAUCACUGAAGAGCGUGGACUGAGCUCGGAAGAAGUUGCAGAAAACAACUUUUAUGAGCUUAUUAACAGAAAUAUGGUCCAACCAGUGGACAUUUGAUACGAUGGUAAGGCUCGUGCCUGUCGAGUCCAUUAUGUGCUUGAACUCAUCAUAUCAAAAUCUACUGAAGAUAAUUUCAUUGAUGUGGUAAACGGUGGGCAAACAGUUUGGGAAAAUUCUCAUGGUUACAUUCGACGACUGUCGAUCCAGCACAUUGAUCAGGAACUUGCAUCUGUACUGCUAAAUAAAGACCUACGGCAUGUUCGAUCUCUGACGGUAACAACCACAGGUUGCAUCAAACACUUGCCUAGUCUUGUGAAGUUUGAAGCAUUACGUGUAAUGGAUUUUGAAGGUUCUGCAGGUUUGGAGGGUUAUGAUCUGAACGGUAUGGGCAAGCUGUUCCAGGUAAAGUACAUGAGCUUUAGGAACACUGGCAUAUUAAGGCUACCAUCGGGAAUUGUGAUGCUACAUGAUCUAGAGACACUAGAUCUUAGGAAUACAUACAUACAAGAGUUGCCCGCUGGAAUAGUUCAGCUUACUAAAUUACAGCAUCUACUUACUGCACGGAGAACAAAAAUACCAGAUGGGAUUGGGAAUAUGAGGAACUUACAAGUGAUUUCAGGAUUUAAUAUUACCGUGAGUUCAAGAGGUGCAGUGGAAGAGCUUGGGAACCUGACCUGUUUGGUAAGUCUAUGUGUCGAGUUGAACAGUGGAGGAUCUGACCGGUAUAAGAGGCAUGAAGAGAUGUUACUGUCUUCUCUAUGCAAGCUUAGUGCAUGCAAACUCCAGUCUUUAGGGAUAUUCAGCAAUGAUUCAACUCCCCUCGAGUUUUUAGAUUCUUGGUCCCCUGUACCACUUACCCUCCAAAGAUUUCAGAUGAGCACCGACUACCAUUUACUGAAUACUCCAAAGUUGAUUGCACCCACACUCAUCAGUCUAGCGCACCUGUGCAUUAAUUUAGUUGAAGUAACAAGGAAGGAUCUGCAGAUGUUUGGGAAACUGAAUGCUUUAAUUUCUCUGGAACUGUUGUUGAAAUCAGGCCAAAAAGAAAGGAUUGCAAUCCAAGGAUACCCCAGUCUGAAGGAAUUUUCCAUUGUUUGCACAGUGGAGGAAGGCGGCGCAUACAUCACGUUCGUGCAAGGGGCUAUGCCAAAGCUUGAGAAGCUUAGGCUGCCGUUCAGCGUGUCAGUGGCAAACACAUAUGGCUUCUGUUUAGGCAUUGAGCAUCUUCCAUGUCUCAAAGAGGCAGAAGUGACUCUUUACAAUGAUGGUGCUGGAUAUUUUGAAGUCAAAGCUGCAAUUGCUGUGAUCAGGAAUGAAGCGAGUGUUCAUCUGAACCAUCCUGAAGUUACUAUCGUCGGAGAGUGCAAUGAAGAGCGCAGAACCUGGCGGCACCAUUGA